UACAGAGGUGGCAAGCGUUGUUCGGAAUUACUGGGCGUAAAGGGCGCGUAGGCGGCCUUCUAAGUCAGACGUGAAAUCCCCCGGCUUAACCUGGGAACUGCGUCUGAUACUGGAAGGCUUGAGUGCGGGAGAGGGAUGUGGAAUUCCAGGUGUAGCGGUGAAAUGCGUAGAUAUCAAGAGGAACACCUGAGGCGAAGGCGGGUUGCUAGGCUGACACUGACGCUGAGUGCGCGAAAGCCAGGGGAGCAAACGGG
RNAcentral lists this ribosomal RNA (254 nucleotides) under uncultured bacterium. Its description in RNAcentral is "partial 16S ribosomal RNA". It matches the Rfam family "Bacterial small subunit ribosomal RNA", at positions 524 to 776 of the family's 1533-position model. The record is from RNAcentral.